This 484-nucleotide ribosomal RNA is filed under the name uncultured bacterium. RNAcentral describes it as "partial 16S ribosomal RNA". It matches the Rfam family "Bacterial small subunit ribosomal RNA", at positions 30 to 507 of the family's 1533-position model. The record is from RNAcentral.
AUUGAACGCUGGCGGCAGGCCUAACACAUGCAAGUCGAGCGGAUGAAGGGAGCUUGCUCCUGGAUUCAGCGGCGGACGGGUGAGUAAUGCCUAGGAAUCUGCCUGGUAGUGGGGGAUAACGUCCGGAAACGGGCGCUAAUACCGCAUACGUCCUGAGGGAGAAAGUGGGGGAUCUUCGGACCACACGCUAUCAGAUGAGCCUAGGUCGGAUUAGCUAGUUGGUGGGGUAAAGGCCUACCAAGGCGACGAUCCGUAACUGGUCUGAGAGGAUGAUCAGUCACACUGGAACUGAGACACGGUCCAGACUCCUACGGGAGGCAGCAGUGGGGAAUAUUGGACAAUGGGCGAAAGCCUGAUCCAGCCAUGCCGCGUGUGUGAAGAAGGUCUUCGGAUUGUAAAGCACUUUAAGUUGGGAGGAAGGGCAGUAAGUUAAUACCUUGCUGUUUUGACGGUACCAACAGAAUAAGCACCGGCUAACUUCGUG